RNAcentral lists this microRNA precursor (68 nucleotides) under Urocitellus parryii (Arctic ground squirrel). Lineage: Eukaryota; Metazoa; Chordata; Mammalia; Rodentia; Sciuridae. The record is from RNAcentral.
UGGUCCGUGGCGCGUUCGCUUUAUUUAUGGCGCACAUUACACGGUCGACCUCUUUGCGGUAUCUAAUC